GAAUUCACUAGUGAUUAGAGUUUGAUUAUGGCUCAGGACGAACGCUGGCGGCGUGCUUAACACAUGCAAGUCGAACGGAGCACCCCUGAAGGAGUUUUCGGACAACGGAUGGGAAUGCUUAGUGGCGGACUGGUGAGUAACGCGUGAGGAACCUGCCCUUCAGAGGGGGACAACAGUUGGAAACGACUGCUAAUACCGCAUGAUACAUUUGAAUCGCAUGAUUUGAAUGUCAAAGAUUUAUCGCUGAAGGAUGGCCUCGCGUCUGAUUAGCUAGUUGGUGGGGUAACGGCCCACCAAGGCGACGAUCAGUAGCCGGACUGAGAGGUUGACCGGCCACAUUGGGACUGAGAUACGGCCCAGACUCCUACGGGAGGCAGCAGUGGGGAAUAUUGGGCAAUGGACGCAAGUCUGACCCAGCAACGCCGCGUGAAGGAAGAAGGCUUUCGGGUUGUAAACUUCUUUUAAGGGGGAAGAGCAGAAGACGGUACCCCUUGAAUAAGCCACGGCUAACUACGUGCCAGCAGCCGCGGUAAUACGUAGGUGGCAAGCGUUGUCCGGAUUUACUGGGUGUAAAGGGCGUGCAGCCGGAGAGACAAGUCAGAUGUGAAAUCCACGGGCUCAACCCGUGAACUGCAUUUGAAACUGUUUCGCUUGAGUGUCGGAGAGGUAAUCGGAAUUCCUUGUGUAGCGGUGAAAUGCGAAGAUAUAAGGAAGAACACCAGUGGCGAAGGCGGAUUACUGGACGAUAACUGACGGUGAGGCGCGAAAGCGUGGGGAGCAAACAGGAUUAGAUA
RNAcentral lists this ribosomal RNA (794 nucleotides) under uncultured bacterium. Its description in RNAcentral is "partial 16S ribosomal RNA". It matches the Rfam family "Bacterial small subunit ribosomal RNA", at positions 1 to 784 of the family's 1533-position model. The record is from RNAcentral.